Molecule: unclassified non-coding RNA, 614 nt
Filed under: Hevea brasiliensis (rubber tree)
Lineage: Eukaryota; Viridiplantae; Streptophyta; Magnoliopsida; Malpighiales; Euphorbiaceae
Source: RNAcentral
CAUUUCUUUUUUUUUUUUUUUAAAGCAGCUAAACCUCAUCUUUCUUGAAGUGAACACACCUCCCUUUUUAGACAUUUUAGUUGGCUUUGGCUAUGUAGAACCUAUGGUGAUAAUUUCCUGAUUGUUUUGCAUAAAUAUUUGACAAUAAAUUGGCAUUUUCAAUUGAAAAACUGGUUACUGGGCAAAAGUGAGUAAUUUGUAGUUGAGUUGCUUUCCAUGAUGUUACAGACUUACAGUCAUCUUGACUUGUCUGGUGCUUGUUGUAAUUUAGGGCUAGGAAAGAAACGUUUAUUUUUAUAUUGCAGUAAAUGUUGUUAAUGCGGUUUGUAGUGUCUUUCCUUCUUAUCAGUCUUCAGAUGUAGAGGUUAUCUGUGUGUCCAAGAUGUAUAUUAUAUUAUCAUGUUGUAUUGCCAUGGACCAAAAUGAAUCAAUCAAUAACAAACAAGAUUUUGAUUCAUUCUUUUAUUUGUUUCAAGUUAAUGAGGCAAAAAGAAUCAUAGAUCUUUAUGAUUGUUGGUGAUUGCAGGCAACAGGAUGAGGAGUUGGAUGAGCUUAGUGCAAGUGUGGAGCGUAUUGGAGGUGUUGGGCUUACUAUACAUGAAGAACUCCUUGCA